CUUCACCGACCCGAGCAACAACGGUCGCUCCCGGUCCUGGCCGUACGUGGCCAGCAGCGCCUGCGCCUC
RNAcentral lists this antisense RNA (69 nucleotides) under Lentzea albida. RNAcentral describes it as "ASpks TB sRNA". It matches the Rfam family "ASpks TB sRNA". The record is from RNAcentral. Lineage: Bacteria; Bacillati; Actinomycetota; Actinomycetes; Pseudonocardiales; Pseudonocardiaceae.